AAGAACUAACAAGGAUUUUCUUAGUAGCGGCGAGCGAAAAGAAAUCAGUUCAGCACUAAGUCACUUUGUCUAUAUGGCAAAUGUGAGAUGCAGUGUAUGGAACAUCAAUAUUCUAAUAUGAGAAAUUAACGAUUUAAGUCCUUCUUAAAUGAGGCCAUUUACCCAAAGAGGGUGCCAGGCCCGUAUAACGUUAAUGAUUAUUAGAUGGUGUUUCCAAAGAGUCGUGUUGCUUGAUAGUGCAGCACUAAGUGGGUGGUAAACUCCAUCUAAAACUAAAUAUAACCAUGAGACCGAUAGUAAACAAGUACCGUGAGGGAAAGUUGAAAAGAACUCUGAAUAGAGAGUUAAACAGUACGUGAAACUGCUUAGAGGUUAAGCCCGAUGAACCUGAAUAUCCGUUAUGGAAAAUUCAUCAUUAGAAUUGUAAUAUUUUAAACAUAUUAUAAUAAUAGUGUGCAUUUUUUCCAUAUAAGGACAUUGUAAUCUAUUAGUAUCAAAUCAAUUUAUCAAAAAAUUAUGGCUUAUUGUUUAUUUAAAUUAUGGCACUUCGGUGUUUUUAACAUAAAAUAAAUGUCGUAAAUUUGAUAAAGUACUGAUAGAUUUAUAUGAUUACAGUGCGUUAAUUUUUCGGAAUUAUAUAAUGGCAUAAUUAUCAUUGAUUUUUGUGUUUAUUAUAUGCACUUGUAUGAUUAACAAUGCGAAAGAUUCAGGAUACCUUCGGGACCCGUCUUGAAACACGGACCAAGGAGUCUAACAUAUGUGCAAGUUAUUGGGAUAUAAACCUAAUAGCGUAAUUAACUUGACUAUUAAAUGGGAUUAGUUUUUUAACUAUUUAUAGUUGAAUAACACAAUCCCGGGGCG
RNAcentral lists this ribosomal RNA (861 nucleotides) under Microdrosophila sp. 4 AY-2012. RNAcentral describes it as "eukaryotic LSU rRNA". It matches the Rfam family "Eukaryotic large subunit ribosomal RNA", at positions 56 to 768 of the family's 3401-position model. Lineage: Eukaryota; Metazoa; Arthropoda; Insecta; Diptera; Drosophilidae. The record is from RNAcentral.